This 289-nucleotide ribosomal RNA is filed under the name uncultured bacterium. RNAcentral's name for it is "partial 16S ribosomal RNA". It matches the Rfam family "Bacterial small subunit ribosomal RNA", at positions 773 to 1060 of the family's 1533-position model. The record is from RNAcentral.
GUGGAUUAGAUACCCUGGUAGUCCACGCUGUAAACUAUGGAUGCUAGCUGUGACACACAUCGACCUGUGUCGUAGCGAAGUUAACGCGUUAAGCAUCCCGCCUGGGGAGUACGGUCGCAAGAUUAAAACUCAAAGGAAUUGACGGGGACCCGCACAAGCGGUGGAGCGUGUUGUUUAAUUCGAUGGUAAGCGAAGAACCUUACCAAGGCUUGAAAUCCCGAGAAGGAUCUCGAAAGAGAACUGUGCUUUAUUGAACUCGGUGACAGGUGAUGCACGGCCGUCGACAACU